This 253-nucleotide ribosomal RNA is filed under the name uncultured bacterium. RNAcentral's name for it is "partial 16S ribosomal RNA". It matches the Rfam family "Bacterial small subunit ribosomal RNA", at positions 524 to 776 of the family's 1533-position model. The record is from RNAcentral.
GACGUAGGGACCAAGCGUUGUUCGGAUUUACUGGGCGUAAAGGGCGCGUAGGCGGCGUGACAAGUCACUUGUGAAAUCUCUGAGCUUAACUCAGAACGGCCAAGUGAAACUGUUGUGCUAGAGUGCAGAAGGGGCAAUCGGAAUUCUUGGUGUAGCGGUGAAAUGCGUAGAUAUCAAGAGGAACACCGGUGGCGAAGGCGGGACUCUGGGCCGAUACUGACGCUGAGGAGCGAAAGCGUGGGGAGCAAACAGG